UACGGAGGGUGCAAGCGUUGCUCGGAAUUAUUGGGCGUAAAGGGCGUGUAGGCGGCCAGAUAAGUCAGAGGUGAAAGCCCGGGGCUCAACCCCGGAAGUGCCUUUGAAACUAUUUGGCUUGAGUGCGGGAGAGGAAAGCGGAAUUCCCAGUGUAGAGGUGAAAUUCGUAGAUAUUGGGAGGAACACCGGUGGCGAAGUCGGCUUUCUGGACCGACACUGACGCUGAGGCGCGAAAGCGUGGGGAGCAAACAGG
RNAcentral lists this ribosomal RNA (253 nucleotides) under uncultured bacterium. RNAcentral's name for it is "partial 16S ribosomal RNA". It matches the Rfam family "Bacterial small subunit ribosomal RNA", at positions 524 to 776 of the family's 1533-position model. The record is from RNAcentral.